AUUUGGUUUCAGUACAAACUUGUUGCUCUUUAGGCAGUUAAGACAGUCCCAGAUCCAACCCUGCUUCAACACACUUACAUGUAGGUUACUCUUGUGAAGUGAGAUCAAGAUGACAGAUCCUGGAAAAAUCCUCAACCUUGUUCUUUGGUGUUUUUUCUGUCAUUUUGCUCAAGGUCAAGUGUAUCCACAAUCACCGACCCUGAGCCUGGUUCCUGUGAGAACUCAGAAAAGCGUGUUUGUCAUGUGUGUUAUUGAGGAUUUUUAUCCCAUGAACCUCACAGUGCAGUGGAAAGUUAAUGAGAGAAACAGCCGGAGACAGUCAAACCUGCAGUACGAACUGAAUCCCGAGGGUCUUUAUACGGCACACAGUCUUUAUAAACUCAGCAAUGAGGCAUUGAUUGGAAAUACUUACACCUGUGAGGUCAAACAUCAGGGAGAAAAAAUCACUGUGACAAAGAUCUUCAAUGGUAAACUGACACUGAAGCCUCCAAUCGUGAGUGAAUUAUUCAACAAUAAUAGAGUUGUGUUGGAAGCCAUUGUUUCUGGAAAUGAACGAAUAGCAGUGCAAGAAGCUUCAGUCUUCUGCAAAGUGAAUAAUAUGCCUGUAUACAGUGAACGAGGAACUGUGAACUUCUCCCGGGAAGUUUCACAGUUUAAAAAAAUUUACAGAAUCUCUGUUGAUGCGAACAAGUGGUUUAAUGGAGAAACGGUCACCUGCACCAUUUAUGACGCAUUUAAUGACAGAGACAUCAAGCAGGAAAUCAGUAUUGAUAAAGGAGAUAGACAGACACCCAGAGUUGUCAUUUACAAACCUGAUCAUUUCAGCACAGACAGAGUCUCUCUGGUGUGUGAAGUCAGCAGCCCAAACCUGGGUGACGUCUAUAUCAUGUGGCAACUGGGUGAACAGCCUUAUAUAGAGGGCUCAACCAACACUCGCGUCCACCAGAAAGAUUUUACAUCUGUUCUCAGCAUUCUGACGAUACCAAAAAGACAGUAUGAAGAUCACCAAAACAUCUUCACUUGCGCAGUCAAACAUGCCAACAUGAAAGAUACAGCAUCUCCAUUACUAAUUUCAACGUCUAGAAGUAAAAAAGAAUCGAAGGCAUGUGAAUGUGACUAUUAUAGAUGAAGAUCCCACAAGAUCAUGAAUGGUUAUCUCACUCGUAUGUUCUUCAUUGUCAGAUCAUCUAUGUUUUUUAUUUCUGGCUUUGUCUUUGAUGCAGUACAGUGUGAUGAACACAAUACAUUCAUAAUUAUGUGCUUCAUUUGUUUGUAUUCAAAUAAAUACAGU
Danio aesculapii is the source of this 1291-nucleotide non-coding RNA. The record is from the annotation of a RefSeq genome assembly. Lineage: Eukaryota; Metazoa; Chordata; Actinopteri; Cypriniformes; Danionidae.